GAUGAAGAACGUAGCAAAAUGCGAUACUUGGUGUGAAUUGCAGAAUCCCGUGAACCAUCGAGUUUUUGAACGCAAGUUGCGCCCGAAGCCUUUUGGCCGAGGGCACGUCUGCCUGGGCGUCACGCAUCGCGUCGCCCCCCACAAUUCUCCGUAAAGGGAACAUGUGUUUUGGGGGCGGAUAUUGGUCUCCCGUGCUCAUGGCGUGGUUGGCCGAAAUAGGAGUCCUUUCGAUGGACGCACGAACUAGUGGUGGUCGUAAAAACCCUCGUCUUUUGUUUCGUGCUGUUGGUCGCAAGGUAAACUCUUUAAAAACCCCAAUGUGUCGUCUCUUGACGACGCUUCGACCGCGACCCCAGGUCAGGCGGGACUACCCGCUGAGUUUAAGCAUAUCAAUAGCGGAGGA
This 403-nucleotide unclassified non-coding RNA is filed under the name soil metagenome. Its description in RNAcentral is "partial contains 5.8S ribosomal RNA, internal transcribed spacer 2, and large subunit ribosomal RNA". The stretch from base 1 to 122 matches the Rfam family "5.8S ribosomal RNA", at positions 35 to 154 of the family's 154-position model. The record is from RNAcentral.